Molecule: transfer RNA, 88 nt
Filed under: Aspergillus avenaceus
Lineage: Eukaryota; Fungi; Ascomycota; Eurotiomycetes; Eurotiales; Aspergillaceae
Description: tRNA-Pro
Source: RNAcentral
GCCCGGAUGGUCUAGUGGUAUGAUUCGCGCUUAGGGACAACCCAAGCAUAACUGCGCGAGGUCCCCGGUUCGAUCCCGGGUUCGGGCC